Molecule: ribosomal RNA, 595 nt
Filed under: uncultured bacterium
Lineage: Bacteria
Description: bacterial SSU rRNA
Rfam family: Bacterial small subunit ribosomal RNA
Source: RNAcentral
AUGGUGAGGUAACGGCUCACCAUGGCAAUGAUGUCUAGGGGUUUGGAGAGGAAGGCCCCCCACAGAGGACUGAGACACGGCCCAGACUCAUACGGGAGGCAGCAGUGAGGAAUAUUGGCCAAUGGAUGGAAAUCUGAUCCAGCCAUGCCCGCGUGCAGGAAGACGGCCUUAUGGGUUGUAAAAUUCUUUUAUACGGGAGCAAUAAGGGUUACGAGUAAUCCGAUGAGAGUACUGUAUGAAUAAGGAUCGGCUAACUCCGUGCCAGCAGCCGCGGUAAUACGGAGGAUCCGAGCGUUAUCCGGAAUUAUUGGGUUUAAAGGGUGGGUAGGCGGCCAUUUAAGUCAGCGGUGAAAUUGUGCAGAUUAACUGUAACAGUGCCGUUGAUACUGUUUGGCUAGCAUUUGGUUGUAGUGUGCGGAAUGUGUGGUGUAGCGGUGAAAUGCUUAGAUAUCACACAGAACACCGAUUGCGAAGGCAGCACACUAAGUCAUUAUUGACGGUGAGGCACGAAAGUGUGGGGAUCAAACAGGAUUAGAUACCCUGGUAGUCCACACUGUAAACGAUGAUAACUCGCGGUGGGCGAUACACAGUCGGU